GACGAACGCUGGCGGCGUGCCUAACACAUGCAAGUCGAACGAACAGACUAGGAGUUUGUUCCUCUGAUGUUAGCGGCGGACGGGUGAGUAACAUGUGUAUAACCUACCUAUAAGACUGGGAUAACUUCGGGAAACCGGAUCUUAUUCCGGAUAAUAUAUUGAUCUGCAUGGUUCAAGUGUGAAGGACGGUUUUGCUGGCGGUUGUAGACGGAUCCGCGCCGCAUUAGCUAGUAGGUAAGGUAGCGGAUUACCAAGGCAACGAGGCGUAGCCGACCUGAGAGGCUGAUCGGCCACCCGGGAACAGAGGGACGGUCCAGACUCCUAGAGUGAGAAGCGGUACAGAAUCGUACGCGAUGGGCGAAAGCGUGACAGCGUAACGCCGCGUGACGGAUGAAGGUCUUGGGAUCGUAGAACUCUGAUAUUAGUGAGGUACAAAUGUGUAAGUAACUAUGCUCGUCUUGACGGUACCGGAUCAAAAAGCCCCGGCUAACUACGUG
Molecule: ribosomal RNA, 497 nt
Filed under: uncultured bacterium
Lineage: Bacteria
Description: partial 16S ribosomal RNA
Rfam family: Bacterial small subunit ribosomal RNA
Source: RNAcentral